RNAcentral lists this ribosomal RNA (405 nucleotides) under uncultured Collinsella sp. RNAcentral's name for it is "partial 16S ribosomal RNA". It matches the Rfam family "Bacterial small subunit ribosomal RNA", at positions 355 to 776 of the family's 1533-position model. The record is from RNAcentral. Lineage: Bacteria; Bacillati; Actinomycetota; Coriobacteriia; Coriobacteriales; Coriobacteriaceae.
UGGGGAAUCUUGCGCAAUGGGGGGAACCCUGACGCAGCGACGCCGCGUGCGGGACGGAGGCCUUCGGGUCGUAAACCGCUUUCAGCAGGGAAGAGAAGAGACUGUACCUGCAGAAGAAGCCCCGGCUAACUACGUGCCAGCAGCCGCGGUAAUACGUAGGGGGCGAGCGUUAUCCGGAUUCAUUGGGCGUAAAGCGCGCGUAGGCGGCCCGGCAGGCCGGGGGUCGAAGCGGGGGGCUCAACCCCCCGAAGCCCCCGGAACCUCCGCGGCUUGGGUCCGGUAGGGGAGGGUGGAACACCCGGUGUAGCGGUGGAAUGCGCAGAUAUCGGGUGGAACACCGGUGGCGAAGGCGGCCCUCUGGGCCGAGACCGACGCUGAGGCGCGAAAGCUGGGGGAGCGAACAGG